AGAUCGUGAGCUGAGCCGGAGUCAGACGCUUAACCGACUGAGCCACCCAGGCGCCCUUUUUUUUUUUUUUUUUUAAUGUUUUUAUUUACCUUGAGAGACAGAGCGAGCAUGGAGGGCAGAGAAAGAGAGAGAAUCCCAAGCUGGCUCUGUGCUGUCAGCACAGAGCUGACGCGGGGCUCGAACCCACAGAACCGUGAGAUCAUGACCUGAGCUGAAACCAAGAGUCGGACGCUCAGCCGACGGAGCCCCCCCCAGGGCACCCCCGCCCUCGGCUGCACCGCCUCAAGGGGCUCAUGGCUUGUGCAGAGGACGAGGCAUAAGCUCUUGGGGCCCCCUCCCACCUGGCACUUGUCCUCACAUGGGUGACACGCAGCGAUUCGAGUCGAUUCAGAUUCCUCGGGGACUUGUAGCUGGUGCUCGUGGGCCCGCCGCCCUGCCACCCCUCUGGCGAGCCCCUUUCUGAGCCGGCCUGGCCUGGUCCCUCGGCCUACCCCCUGCAGCCUCGUUGGCCCCAGCGCCUCCAGCCUCUCCUUGGAAGCUACCGUCCCGGGGGUCCUGCCCACAGCUCCGCGGUGUCGAGGCCGGCACUGGGAUGGCCGCGUGGCCCCGCGCCGGUGGAGGUCGAGUCUGGGCCGCCCGGAUUCGCGGAGGGAAGGCCUCCGUCAUCAGGACAGCCGGUUGUAAUUCUCCGUCCUUUCCUGACAGAAGUUUCCGGGCGGGAAGAGGGGUUCUCAAAUCCGUUCUGUUCUUUGCCCCUUUAGGAAACGAGCAAGGGGGCCUUGGGGGUCCGUGGGAAGCUGGACCGCGUUUGUUGGGCUCUUGUUUUCCGGAAAGGCGUCCUCCAGCCCCAGGGGACGUUCGUCUCGGCCUUCGCCGUCCUCUGCGGAGCCCGCACCGACCUCCCGGACAGGCACGUGUGCUGCGUCUUCUGGCUGAACAUCGCGGCGGCCCUCAUCCAGACCCUCACGGCCAUCGUCAUGGUGGGCUGGAUCAUGAGCAUCUUCUGGGGCAUGGACAUGGUCAUCCUCGCCAGUGAGUAGCCCGCCAGCGCCCUGCUUUCUGGGGCGGGGGCCGGGAUUCGG
Molecule: long non-coding RNA, 1082 nt
Filed under: Felis catus (domestic cat)
Lineage: Eukaryota; Metazoa; Chordata; Mammalia; Carnivora; Felidae
Description: lncRNA (ENSFCAG00000047586.1)
Source: RNAcentral